CGGCGGUGUUUGGCACCUCGAUGUCGGCUCAUCACAUCCUGGGGCUGAAGUAGGUCCCAAGGGUAUGGCUGUUCGCCAUUUAAAGUGGUACGCGAGCUGGGUUUAGAACGUCGUGAGACAGUUCGGUCCCUAUCUGCCGUGGGCGCUGGAGAACUGAGGGGGGCUGCUCCUAGUACGAGAGGACCGGAGUGGACGCAUCACUGGUGUUCGGGUUGUCAUGCCAAUGGCACUGCCCGGUAGCUAAAUGCGGAAGAGAUAAGUGCUGAAAGCAUCUAAGCACGAAACUUGCCCCGAGAUGAGUUCUCCCUGAGACUUUAGGUCUCCUGAAGGAACGUUGAAGACGACGACGUUGAUAGGCCGGGUGUGUAAGCGCAGCGAUGCGUUGAGCUAACCGGUACUAAUGAACCGUGAGGCUUAACCUUACAACGCCGAAG
Molecule: ribosomal RNA, 434 nt
Filed under: Salmonella enterica subsp. enterica serovar Hadar str. SA20026260
Lineage: Bacteria; Pseudomonadati; Pseudomonadota; Gammaproteobacteria; Enterobacterales; Enterobacteriaceae
Description: bacterial LSU rRNA
Rfam family: Bacterial large subunit ribosomal RNA
Source: RNAcentral